AUUGAACGCUGGCGGCAGGCUUAACACAUGCAAGUCGAGCGGGGAAAGGUAGCUUGCUACCUGACCUAGCGGCGGACGGGUGAGUAAUGCUUAGGAAUCUGCCUAUUAGUGGGGGACAACAUCUCGAAAGGGAUGCUAAUACCGCAUACGUCCUACGGGAGAAAGCAGGGGACCUUCGGGCCUUGCGCUAAUAGAUGAGCCUAAGUCGGAUUAGCUAGUUGGUGGGGUAAAGGCCUACCAAGGCGACGAUCUGUAGCGGGUCUGAGAGGAUGAUCCGCCACACUGGGACUGAGACACGGCCCAGACUCCUACGGGAGGCAGCAGUGGGGAAUAUUGGACAAUGGGGGGAACACUGAUCCAGCCAUGCCGCGUGUGUGAAGAAGGCCUUUUGGUUGUAAAGCACUUUAAGCGAGGAGGAGGCUACCGAGAUUAAUACUCUUGGAUAGUGGACGUUACUCGCAGAAUAAGCACCGGCUAACUCUGUG
This 485-nucleotide ribosomal RNA is filed under the name uncultured bacterium. RNAcentral's name for it is "partial 16S ribosomal RNA". It matches the Rfam family "Bacterial small subunit ribosomal RNA", at positions 30 to 507 of the family's 1533-position model. The record is from RNAcentral.